AUAAUUCACUUAAUAGUGCUACUUAAUUAACGGUAUUUUAUUAAAUAACACCAGAGCUAGGCUCUUAUGCUUUCGAAAAUACGGACGCCUCCGUGCUUGUAAGUUGUUUUUGAUGAUGGAGCAUCCGAUUCGGCGAUCGGCUCCGUUAAACAUGAUUUAUGCUAUUGGAACAUUUAGAAACCAAAUUUUAUUAUUUUUUGACUUCAUUUGUCUAGUGAACGAAUAGGCUCAAAAUGAACGACUGAAAAUAAAAAAUCUCAAAAAAAAUAAUGAUAAAAGACUCAAAUUUGAAAUCGAAAGUAUUGUUCUUACUCUUGAUGUUAAGUAAAUUUUUUUAAAAAUGUUUCAUAUAAUUUGAAUUCUUCUACACCGUCGAACUUUCAAACGUGCCACAUCGGCCGUUAAAAUAGUCAUUUUUGAGACUUUUUGAUUAUUUGGUAAAUAUGUCGAAGAAUUAUGAAAUCUAGUUUCUAAAUAAUUCUAAUAGUAUAGAUCAUGCCUAACAAAGCCGAUCGCCGGAUUGGACACCCCAUCAUCCAAAACAACUUACAAGUACGGAGGUUUCCGUACUUUCGAAAGUAUAGGAGACGUACUCAAUAACACCAUAUCUUAUAUAUUAUGAGAAAGCACAUAAAGCGCGCAAAUAAAGAAAAAUUGGAGUAUGUAUAUUGGAUUCUAGAAGCUGAAGCUGCAGGUCUUAGUAGCUGUCAAAUGUUUGAUAAUGCGAAGGAAAAAAAAAGA
RNAcentral lists this long non-coding RNA (741 nucleotides) under Ananas comosus (pineapple). RNAcentral's name for it is "long non-coding RNA (ACOM_LNC019086)". The record is from RNAcentral. Lineage: Eukaryota; Viridiplantae; Streptophyta; Magnoliopsida; Poales; Bromeliaceae.